RNAcentral lists this ribosomal RNA (492 nucleotides) under uncultured bacterium. RNAcentral describes it as "partial 16S ribosomal RNA". It matches the Rfam family "Bacterial small subunit ribosomal RNA", at positions 29 to 507 of the family's 1533-position model. The record is from RNAcentral.
AGUGAACGCUGGCGGUAGGCCUAACACAUGCAAGUCGAACGGCAGCACAGUAAGAGCUUGCUCUUACGGGUGGCGAGUGGCGGACGGGUGGGGAAUACAUCGGAAUCUACUUUUUCGUGGGGGAUAACGUAGGGAAACUUACGCUAAUACCGCAUACGACCUACGGGUGAAAGCAGGGGAUCUUCGGACCUUGCGCGAUCGAAUGAGCCGAUGUCGGAUUAGCUAGUUGGCGGGGUAAAGGCCCACCAAGGCGACGAUCCGUAGCUGGUCUGAGAGGAUGAUCAGCCACACUGGAACUGAGACACGGUCCAGACUCCUACGGGAGGCAGCAGUGGGGAAUAUUGGACAAUGGGCGCAAGCCUGAUCCAGCCAUACCGCGUGGGUGAAGAAGGCCUUCGGGUUGUAAAGCCCUUUUGUUGGGAAAGAAAAGCAGCAGGUUAAUACCCCGCUGUUCUGACGGUACCCAAAGAAUAAGCACCGGCUAACUUCGUG